Molecule: transfer RNA, 90 nt
Filed under: Lactobacillaceae bacterium
Lineage: Bacteria; Bacillati; Bacillota; Bacilli; Lactobacillales; Lactobacillaceae
Description: tRNA-Ser
Rfam family: tRNA
About the family: Transfer RNA (tRNA) molecules are approximately 80 nucleotides in length. Their secondary structure includes four short double-helical elements and three loops (D, anti-codon, and T loops). Further hydrogen bonds mediate the characteristic L-shaped molecular structure. tRNAs have two regions of fundamental functional importance: the anti-codon, which is responsible for specific mRNA codon recognition, and the 3' end, to which the tRNAs corresponding amino acid is attached (by aminoacyl-tRNA synthetases). tRNAs cope with the degeneracy of the genetic code in two manners: having more than one tRNA (with a specific anti-codon) for a particular amino acid; and 'wobble' base-pairing, i.e. permitting non-standard base-pairing at the 3rd anti-codon position.
Source: RNAcentral
GGAGAGAUGGCAGAGCGGUUUAAUGCAGCGGUCUUGAAAACCGUCGAGGAUGCGAGUCCUCCCUGAGUUCGAAUCUCAGUCUCUCCGCCA